UACGUAAGGGGCAAGCGUUAUCCGGAAUCACUGGGCGUAAAGGGUGCGUAGGUGGUCUUGUAAGUCAGAAGUGAAAGGCUAUGGCUCAACCAUAGUAAGCUUUUGAAACUGCAGGACUUGAGUGCAGGAGAGGAAAGUGGAAUUCCUAGUGUAGCGGUGAAAUGCGUAGAUAUUAGGAGGAACACCAGUGGCGAAGGCGACUUUCUGGACUGUUACUGACACUGAGGCACGAAAGCGUGGGGAGCGAACAGG
RNAcentral lists this ribosomal RNA (252 nucleotides) under uncultured bacterium. RNAcentral's name for it is "partial 16S ribosomal RNA". It matches the Rfam family "Bacterial small subunit ribosomal RNA", at positions 524 to 776 of the family's 1533-position model. The record is from RNAcentral.